GGGGGAAGACACUGUAUCUCUUAAGCCUGUUUUUGUUAUCCAGAACCAAUAACUGAACAGUUGGAAUACUCUGAUACCUGAAAGCCUGAGAGGAAGAGGAGAAUAAGAAGAGGAGAAAGAAAUCACUGAAACCCAUGGGAAGGCAGCACUCCACGCGAGGCCGUGGUCCGAGGGCUGUGCAACCAUCCCUGGACCCUGGAUCACCGAGACUCUCAUGUUGGCAACUUUUUUUCACGGAGCACAGACGUUUUCUUUUUCAUACAUGGACGUUGGAAGGCCGAGAAAGUGGGUGUGAGGAGCAGGGUGAUACGCAGAGUUGCGGUUGGGUUAGGGGACACACAAGUCUCGGGAUGGCCACGUGUGUGUUCCUGGCUCUCUGGACAGCGGACUUGGGCUGCUGGCCAGGGAAACCCUCAAGUGAGACAACGCGAUUCCAGACCUCAGUAAAGCCCCGCGGAUGGAGCUAUGAGGCUGGGAAGAUCCAUGCCUUCUGCCACCGCCUGAUUCCUCCUCCUGGAGUCGGAGAUGGACACCGCACAGAGGCUCUCACGAAUAUGGACAGCAUCUGUUUUAAGAGACAGGGAAACACUUUACACUGGUAUGGAUCACUUCUGCGCCGGUGUAGGUCAGAUUCAAGGACAGAAACCAAGGCAGGGAGGCGAAAGCCCCUGGGGUGGGGAGGCCCCGUGGGGGAACUGGACACAAGAAAGAAUUAG
RNAcentral lists this long non-coding RNA (716 nucleotides) under Fukomys damarensis (Damara mole-rat). RNAcentral's name for it is "lncRNA (ENSFDAG00000024118.1)". The record is from RNAcentral. Lineage: Eukaryota; Metazoa; Chordata; Mammalia; Rodentia; Bathyergidae.